CGAGCCCAACCUCCCACCCGUGUUUACCGUAACCGCGUUGCCUCGGCGGGCCCACUGGGGCCUGUCCCCGGUCGCCGGGGGGCAUCUGCCCCCGGGCCCGCGCCCGCCGAAGCGCCCUGGAACCCUGUCUGAAUAGUGAGUCUGAGUGAAUGAUUGAAUCAUUAAAACUUUCAACAACGGAUCUCUUGGUUCCGGCAUCGAUGAAGAACGCAGCGAAAUGCGAUAAUUAAUGUGAAUUGCAGAAUUCCGUGAAUCAUCGAGUUUUUGAACGCACAUUGCGCCCCCUGGCAUUCCGGGGGGCAUGCCUGUCCGAGCGUCAUUUCUGCCCUCCAGCCCGGCUGGGUGUUGGGCGCUGUCCCCCCGGGGACACGCCCCAAAGGCAGUGGCGGCGCCGCAUGGGUCCUCGAGCGUAUGGGGCUUUGUCACCCGCUCUGAGGGACUCGUCGGCGCUGGUCUUCCCCCAGGCGGCCCGUCUCGGGCUCGUCUUCUUCCGGUUGACCUCGGAUCAGGUAGGGCUACCCGCUGAACUUAA
Molecule: ribosomal RNA, 532 nt
Filed under: Talaromyces wortmannii
Lineage: Eukaryota; Fungi; Ascomycota; Eurotiomycetes; Eurotiales; Trichocomaceae
Description: eukaryotic LSU rRNA
Rfam family: 5.8S ribosomal RNA (bases 166-319)
Source: RNAcentral